UGUGCUGAAAUGGGCUCCAGGAGGCAUCCACAUCUGCCUCCCAGGAACUCGGGGGCUCAGGGCAGUCCAGAAGCACCAAGCUUUCCAUGGGAAAACACGAACACAGGGGAAAGAAGAAGGAAAGGAUUUCUGGCACGAAGCUCCAGUACGUAAACAAGCAGAGUGAGGACCUCAGAGAGGAAGCGCAGUGCUAGAAGGCCUCAGUGAGGGUUUGUGGGAGGACUCUGAAAAAAAGGUGGACAGAAAGGGAAACCGGAGCAAGUGGCAAAGUUGGACUGCGCCCACCCAGACCUCAUCACUGUUCGCUCUCUGGUGCCAGUGCCCAGCUUGGAACGCUUAUGAGGCUGGCGGGUGAGACAGGUGGCGAGCACCCGAGUUCCCGGCUUGCUCCCCUGCCCCCCAUCUCCAGGACACUCACAUGCUUAAAACAGCUGACAGGAGCAGCUUUGUAACUGUGAUCCUUCAGGAACUUCCCCCAGUCGAAACCCAAGACCAGCGCUGCAGAGCAGAAAGAGAAGAGUUGGAACCUGACGCCCAGGAGCCAUAGAAGCAGGUCCUUCCCCACCCAGGCAGCCCCAUACCUGCCCCACUGGUGGCCAUCAGAACAGGCCUGGACCUUAUCCAAAGGGUGACAGACUCUCAGGAGUAGAGGAAGCAUUCAGGGGGAAAUGUCUGAUCUUUCUUCCCCGGAAAAGACAAGGAAAUUCAAAGGCCUUUGGGCUUAAAUUCUUUAGACCUCCCUCAACCUCUCAUUGGUCACAGCCGAUUGGAAUGGAUGGGAGGGGCACACACGUAGGCCCCUCCAACCCUUGUGCGUCUAGAGCUCAGCUACAGCCAAAAACAGACCACCUAGAGCAGAGUUGCUUAUUGCCUGCACGCUUAGAAACUGCUGCGCACACUCAGAAGGUUACUUUCCUUAUCCCGCCACCCCUCUCCAAACCAGACAGGGGUCUCCACUGCCCAUGGGACACAGAAGCCACAGGGCUAAGAGCGAUACAAAAGAAAAGCAGCAAAUUCUGGGUUUCUGAACUAUCAAGAGUAGGGGUCCUAGUACCUCAGAAGUGACUAAAGGGAUUUUCUGGGGUAAUUUGCACAAUCCCUACCAAAUAGGGAAGAUGGCAGUCCACAGUGAGCCUGGGGCAGGACACUCUGUAGCUGUCCUUUUUUCCCAUUCCCGGCUCCUAGGCAGGGCCAGCCCAGGCCUGGCACCCCAUUCCCAACCCCUUGGCAGCUUCUGAGCACCAGUGUUCUGCUGUCUUACCAUCUUGCCCAGUUGGCGUCCCAUCUGCCAGCUGUCCUGUCCCUUGGGAGUGGAGGAAGGCUCCAAUUUUGGCAGACCAGGCCGCCUUGUGGAGGACUUUGGCUUUCUUGGUAGGUGGUUUUCCCUGGAGGGAGGAGAGCACGUGGGUAGCCUAAUGGCUGAGAAUGGAGCGCUGGAUCUGGAAGGUCUGGGUUUAAAUCCGGGGAUUCAGUCCCUCAACCUCUUCAGUUCCUUCAUUUGUAAAUCAAGUGCAUAACAAUAACAAUGCUUGGCUCAAAGGGGGGCUGCAAGGAUGUGAGUUACUGUCUGAUGCCUGGCAUUCAGUAAGUGCUUAGCUAUUGUUCAAAUGCGGAGGGAUAGGUCACUUGGAGCUACAGGGCAGGGAGGGACACUUGUAUCUUUUCUGUCUUUUAAGCCUUUGUUUCCUCCAGGGACUUUUCCCAGUGGCUUCAACUCUCAGCCAUCUCCUUCAUCAGGUGCUCCCACAGAUUUAUGGCAGACAGUGGGCUUCACAGAGGUCUAGGAGGCAACAUUUUGUACACAUAUGGGAAUGUUCUAGAGCAGGUCUGUGGCUUUCAUCAGAUGCUCCACGGGGCCUCCCCAAGAGUGAAAGGCCACUAAUCUAGUCUACAGCUUGUAACUUAAGCACUGAUCAGAAAAGCCCAGAGAAUUUAUUUUAAAAAAUCAGUGAUGGGGCGCCUGGGUGGCGCAGUCGGUUAAGCGUCCGACUUCAGCCAGGUCACGAUCUCGCGGUCCGGGAGUUCGAGCCCCGCGUCGGGCUCUGGGCUGAUGGCUCAGAGCCUGGAGCCUGUUUCCGAUUCUGUGUCUCCCUCUCUCUCUGCCCCUCCCCUGUUCAUGCUCUGUCUCUCUCUGUCCCAAAAAUAAAUAAACGUUGAAAAAAAAAAAUCAGUGAAAUAAAAAUGUGAGUUUACACAGACCUGGGGCAAAGUCCUGGCUCUUCAAUUUGUAACUUCUUUGAGUAAGUUACUAAAAAUUUUUGAGCCUUUAAAAAAAUUUUAACGUUUAUUCAUUUUUGAGAGACAGAGAGAGACAGAGUGCAAGCAGGGGUGGGGCAGAGACAGAGGGAGACACAGAAUCCAAAUCAGGCUCCAGGCUCUGAGCUGUCAGCACAGGGCCCGACGCAGGGCUUGAACUCACGAACCGCGAGAUCAUGACCUGAACUUAAGUCGGACACUUAACCGACUGAGCCACCUGGGCGCCCCUUCUGAGCCUUUAAAAUAGGAAUUUAAGGGGCACCUUUGUGGCUCAGUCGGUUAAGUGUCUGACACUUGAUUUCAGCUCAGGUCAUGAUCUCAAGGUUUGUGAGACUGAGCCCCAUGCUAGGAGCCUGCUUGGGAUUCUCUCUCCCUCUCCCUCUGCCCCUCCCCCUGCUUGCUCAAAAUAAAUAAACAUUAAAAAAAAGAUUAAUAGGGGCACCUGGGUGGCUCAGUCCGUUAAACUUCUGACUUCUACUCUGUGCUGGCAGUGUGGAGACUGCCUCGGAUUCUGUCUCCUUUUCUCUGCCCCUACCCCGCUCGCACUCUGUCUCCGUCUCUCAAAAAUAAAUAAACGUUAAAAAAAUAAUAAAAUAGGAAUUUUUAAAAAAAUAAUAAAAAAUAAAAUAAAAUAGGAAUUUAAGGGGCAUCUGGCUGGCUCAGUAAGUACAGCAUGCAACUCUUGAUCUUGGAGUUGUGAGUUCAAGCCCCAUGUUUGGUGUAGGGAUUUCUCUGGGGAAAAAAAUCUUAAAAAAAUAAAAUAGGAAACUUUAAAAAUUCAUUUUUAAGAGAGCAUUGGUUGGUUGGAUUCAGUUAGCAAGUAUCCCUGAAUUGUAGCUAUUAACAAUACUAUUUAUUAGGUCACUGAGGAGAGAGAUUUUUCUAUGCCCUAACUAAAAUCUACACAGUGAGGGAAACAACAAUGAUUAUGCACAAAAGUGAGAAAUAAAGUAUACAGAAGCACAAAGCAGGAGACAUGGUCUACUGUGACUUUCAAUAAAUGUCAGAGCAGUGGGUCUCAAACUUUGCUGCACAUGACAAUUACCUGGGUGGGGCUCUUUAAAGCCCCUAUGUCCAGGGGGCACCUGGCUGGCUAGGGUGGUAGAGGCAGUGCAUGAGACUCUUAUCUCAGGGUUAGGAAUUAGAGCCCCAUGUUGGGUGCAGAUUACUUAAAACAACAACAAUAAUAAUAAUUAUAAAGCCCAUGUGUCCAGGCCACACUCCAUCCCAAUUAAAUGAGAAUCUUUGGGAGUAAGACCAAGCAUCAAUAUUUUGUUACUACUUCUUUUAAAGCUUGUUUAUUUAUUUAUUUUUUUAGUAAUCUCUACACCCAAUGUGGGGCUUGAACUCAUGACCCCGAGAUCAAAAGUUGCACCAAACAUUAAUAUUUUAAACACUCUCCAGGUGAUCCCAACGUGCAGGCAAGGUGUGAGAACCGGUGUCAUGGACGGUGGCCAUAGUUACCAGGACACAACACAACGUUAGGCGCCUGAGAGCACAUUCCAGUCCCAGUUCUGCUGCUCCCCCAACAGAACCACCUUAGGUAAGUCCCUCUUCCUCUCUGAACCUCAGCACACUUCUCAACUAAUGUGUGGGUGAGACAACACGUCUCUUUAAGAAUCCUUCCAUUUAUAAAACUUCUAUGAAUGUCAGUAAUUAACUAAAGAUUAGUAAGACUUUCUAGGUGGCUGCCUAUGACAUGGAAUCAGAGACCAGGCAUCAACUUCCUAAACCCACCGUGGCUGGUAAAUGUAUGCCUGUCUCCUAAUUUCCUUUCAGAGCAUUUAUAAAGGUAUGGGGCAGGGGCACCUGCGUAGCUCAGCUGGUUAAGCAUCUGACUCUUGAUUUUGGCUCAGGUCAGGAUCUCACCAUUCAUGAGGUUAAGCCCGGCGUCAGGCUCUGCACUGAUAGCACAGGGCCUGCUUGGGAUUCUCUCUGUCCCUCUCUCUCCCCCUCCCCUGCUCAUGUCCUAGCUUUCUCAAAAUAAACAAACUUUAAAAAAAAAAAAAAAAAAAAGUAUGAGGCAAAGACCAAAGGGCACCAGACUCCCCCAAGGCUCUUCUUUUCUUUAAAACUUACUAAAGGCAUUAGACUCCUGGGGGCAGGGGAAGGUGGGGAUUGAAGGGCACCUCUAUUAGUGUGUAAUUUACAGAUUGAUUCCCCUGCAGGCUAAAUUUUGAGAGCAUAAUAAAUAGCAGGAAGUUUACAACCUCAGACAGCCACAAGCAAACUCCUUCCAAAGCUCUCUUGGCCCCUUUGCCAUCAGCCAGGUGGGUGUUCCUGUCUCAGCUCCCAGGGCCCCAGGAAAGGUCUUCCGAGUAACUGCCUCUUACCUGUAAUCUGGCCAAGAUACUGGCUUUCUUGGAGUUGGAGGAGUAGCUCCUAGAACAGGAGACGCUGCAGAAUCUCUUAGUCUUGGAGAAGAAGGCUUCCCUUGUACCCACGAUACCACACAUCUCACAGACAGCUGGGAAGAGAACUUAGCACGUGACCCACCUGAUACGGUCACCCCAGAUCAAACAAAAUGAUGGGCCCUUCAAAACCCGAACAGCACAUUAACCAGGUGAAUCCAAGCCCCCACUCAGACUGACAGGCCUGGAACAGGAGGAGGAGGUUUGUAUACAACUGAAAUCUGCUUUGUCUGAGGUAAGCUGCCUGACAUCCCUCGGUUAUAUGUCAACAGUGGAGCUAAGGCAAAUCCACAGGGCAACAGGUGAGUAUUGGAAAGUUUGUAAAGAAGAAAAUGAGAAGCUAAAAUGCCAUUAACUUCUGUGGGUACCUUUUCUUCUCAUCUAUACAGCCACUGAACUAGAUCAAUGUUUCACGCCUGACAUCAUAUUAGAAUCAUCCGAGUAGCUUUAAAAAUACCCAGCCUGAGAUUCUAAUUAACUGGUCUGUGGUGGGACAAAGGCAUCUGUAGUCUGUUAAAACCUCCCCAGGUGAUCCUAAUGUACAGCCAGGCUAGAGAACACCUGAACUCCACAGUCUCUAAUGGUUCUUUCUAGUUCCAAAGUUCUAAGAUUCUAAGAGAAUGGCCGGAAGAAGACAGAAGGGAGAAAAAAUAAAAUAAAAAAUAAAUAAAAAAGGCAGGGGUGGGGGUGGGAGAAGACUGGUAGAAAAGAAGAGUCAAGUUGCAGAGUAUUAGAGUUCAGGCACCAAGGGACAGGACUAUCCUCACAGACAUCUAGCCUGUCUUCACAGGCAGUCCACAUACUGGAGGCCCUGACACAGGGGUCCAGCAUCUGUCCGAGCAUCACAGCUCAGAAGGUAACUAGCUUCCAGAUGAUCCAUGGGAACUGUCAUCAGUAAUCCUCUCCCUCAGAGGUCACUGGAUUCUGUAUUCCCCCCACACCUCACAUCCAACCCACAAGCUAUUCCUUGACCUUCCCCAGAUAGUAAUCAGAACAUUCUAGGUGUUCUUCUCAACAUCCAGGUUUAAAAAUCAACCAGCUACUCACCCAAAUGUAAAAGCACCAUAUUAAUGACUGGCAUCUAAUAUGUUCCAAAUAAAUAUAGUUGUAGGAAAGAACAAAGGAAAUUGCAAUUUGAAAUCAGACUGCAGCAGAGGAAAUACCCUUUGGGGCUACUUGGGGUACUUGUGUCUCUGUCACAGGCCCUCAGACAUCAGAGCAAACGGCUCCUUACACCUGGAUGGCUCUGCCCACAUGGCCUACGUCCCCCCGCCCACCCUUCCUCCAUAGCCUCCUGAAACCUCCCCAUCUUCAGGGGACACUCUCAAAGCACCUGGCUCAGAACCACUGCCAUCCAAGGAGCGGGGAGUCCCAGGGCUGAGCAAAUGCAGGGGAGAGGUGGGCAGCUCCCCUGCUUCCCGAUCCUCAUUUUCUGCUUCACUUGACUCCUCCAGAUAGGAGCUGCUCUCGCUGCCCGCACUGCUGUUAUAGCUCCGGAAACUGUCAUAGCCACCAAAGAGCUCCAAAUCGUCCUCCUCUUCCUCUUCCUCCUCCAUAGGUUCUGAAGAUGGAGCUUCCUAAUGAAAGAUACAAACCAGGCAGGAGAAAUCAGGUCUGACUUAGUGUAUGCAGAGGGAGGCUGCAGGUGGGCUCUCAGCUCCCUUUUCCAGUUCUUGGUCAAGUCAACACCUCUGAGCCAAGUGGCACGCAGAAUCAAAUACCCCUUUAGCAAACACCAGGCUCCUUACUCUUGUUUGUACAAUUCUUAACCACAACUCAUCAGAAUAGCUUAACGAGACAGAAAGUACGAAUUAGGAAUUGACCAAGCUCCUCCUGUGGAUUCAUAAAUGAUGACCUUUUAACAUGAUUCAAAUAGAAUAC
RNAcentral lists this long non-coding RNA (6548 nucleotides) under Lynx pardinus (Iberian lynx). Lineage: Eukaryota; Metazoa; Chordata; Mammalia; Carnivora; Felidae. The record is from RNAcentral.